This 860-nucleotide long non-coding RNA is filed under the name Phaseolus vulgaris (common bean). RNAcentral describes it as "long non-coding RNA (PVUL_LNC003602)". The record is from RNAcentral. Lineage: Eukaryota; Viridiplantae; Streptophyta; Magnoliopsida; Fabales; Fabaceae.
AUAAACUUCAAAACAUAGAUAGUGUAGUCAGAUUUUGAAAAGUAAGAGUCCCAAAAUUGUGUGAAAACUAUAUGUGAAUACUUAUUACAUUAAGAAAGGUAUGUGUUUAUUUAUUCAUGUUUUUUAUAAUUUUUUAGUCUUUACUCUUCUUGAACAAUCUAAGAUUAGGAUCUUGUUCUCUUUAUACCUUUUGCCUUUUAUUUUUUGGUAAAAUUUCUUUUGUUCACUAGUUAAAUAUAUGUGUUUCUCAAUUUUCUAUUAAAGUAGUUUUUUAGUAUUAAUUUCUCUAUUAUUUUUUAACAAUUAUUUAUGAUACUAAGUUUUUUCCGAUCUAACGUGAUUUUGAUUUGAUUUCAAUUUUUUAAAAGAUUUUUUAUUGAAAAAGAGUCACUUCUAUACUCUAUUUGUUUUCAGUUAAUUCUCUUGUUUCGUUAUAUUAUUAUAAUUUUAAGUUAUAAUAAUCUUAUUUUCACCUUUGUAUUCAAAUAAAGUUAAUUAUUUUGAAAGAAAUAUAAUUAUAGGGAUGUUUAUAAAAUUAUAAAAUCAGAUCAACACUAACAAUUCUUUAAAUGUUCAAAAUUGAAUUUUAAUAAUAAUUUUGUUUAACCAGGUACUAGAUGUUGGAAGACAGAUUGAGAAGUUUUACAUACAAGAUGCACGAAGCGAGACCAAAAGUGAAAAUGAAGCCAACUUCCAACCAUGAAGGAUCAAAGAGUCCCAAAGAUGCAACAACAAAACUCAAUAGCCAACAAUAAUCCAACAAUAAAACUCACAUACCUUAGUUAAGGUGGUGGUGUGAGUAAUAUAAAAAGGAUCUAUAAUAUACCUCAAAUGACAAUAGUGUUAAACAUGAAAUAAAA